RNAcentral lists this transfer RNA (72 nucleotides) under Candidatus Woesearchaeota archaeon. Its description in RNAcentral is "tRNA-Ala". It matches the Rfam family "tRNA". Rfam says of the family: Transfer RNA (tRNA) molecules are approximately 80 nucleotides in length. Lineage: Archaea; Nanobdellati; Candidatus Woesearchaeota. The record is from RNAcentral.
GGGCCCGUAGCUUAGCGGUAUAGCAUCGCCUUCGCAAGGCGGGGGUCUCGGGUUCGAAUCCCGACGGGUCCA